RNAcentral lists this ribosomal RNA (492 nucleotides) under uncultured bacterium. RNAcentral describes it as "partial 16S ribosomal RNA". It matches the Rfam family "Bacterial small subunit ribosomal RNA", at positions 28 to 507 of the family's 1533-position model. The record is from RNAcentral.
GAUGAACGCUCGCUACAGGCUUAACACAUGCAAGUCGAGGGGAAACGACAUCGAAAGCUUGCUUUUGAUGGGCGUCGACCGGCGCACGGGUGAGUAACGCGUAUCCAACCUGCCCACCACUUGGGGAUAACCUUGCGAAAGUAAGACUAAUACCCAAUGAUAUCUCUAGAAGACAUCUGAAAGAGAUUAAAGAUUUAUCGGUGAUGGAUGGGGAUGCGUCUGAUUAGCUUGUUGGCGGGGUAACGGCCCACCAAGGCAACGAUCAGUAGGGGUUCUGAGAGGAAGGUCCCCCACAUUGGAACUGAGACACGGUCCAAACUCCUACGGGAGGCAGCAGUGAGGAAUAUUGGUCAAUGGACGAGAGUCUGAACCAGCCAAGUAGCGUGCAGGAAGACGGCCCUAUGGGUUGUAAACUGCUUUUAUAAGGGAAUAAAGUGAGUCUCGUGAGACUUUUUGCAUGCACCUUAUGAAUAAGGACCGGCUAAUUCCGUG